UGGGGAAUAUUGGACAAUGGGCGAAAGCCUGAUCCAGCCAUGCCGCGUGUGUGAAGAAGGUCUUCGGAUUGUAAAGCACUUUAAGUUGGGAGGAAGGGCAGUAAGCGAAUACCUUGCUGUUUUGACGUUACCGACAGAAUAAGCACCGGCUAACUCCGUGCCAGCAGCCGCGGUAAUACAGAGGGUGCAAGCGUUAAUCGGAAUUACUGGGCGUAAAGCGCGCGUAGGUGGUUCGUUAAGUUGAAUGUGAAAGCCCCGGGCUCAACCUGGGAACUGCAUCCGAUACUGGCGAGCUAGAGUAGGGCAGAGGGUGGUGGAAUUUCCUGUGUAGCGGUGAGAUGCGUAGAUAUAGGGAGGAACACCAGUGGCGAAGGCGACCACCUGGGCUCAUACUGACACUGAGGUGCGAAAGCGUGGGGAGCAAACAGG
This 429-nucleotide ribosomal RNA is filed under the name Pseudomonadota bacterium. RNAcentral's name for it is "Proteobacteria bacterium partial 16S ribosomal RNA". It matches the Rfam family "Bacterial small subunit ribosomal RNA", at positions 355 to 776 of the family's 1533-position model. Lineage: Bacteria; Pseudomonadati; Pseudomonadota. The record is from RNAcentral.